This 123-nucleotide small RNA is filed under the name Enterobacter sp. 638. RNAcentral's name for it is "isrA Hfq binding RNA". It matches the Rfam family "isrA Hfq binding RNA". The record is from Rfam by way of RNAcentral. Lineage: Bacteria; Pseudomonadati; Pseudomonadota; Gammaproteobacteria; Enterobacterales; Enterobacteriaceae.
ACCAUCACCGGCGUGUCGGUGCUGAAUCCCGCCUCUUCCAGCCAGUUACCGUUCAGGCGCAGGCUGGGGCUGCGGGAAUACCAGGUGGCGGUGUAGUUGUGAUGGUAAAAAUGCCGGACGCUG